CGGGGUGAGUAACGCGUAGGUAUCUAUCCAUGGGUGGGGGAGUAACGCUGGGAAACUGGUGCUAAUACCGCAUGACGCCUGAGGGCCAAAGGCAGCGAUGUCGCCUGUGGAGGAGCCUGCGUACGAUUAGCUUGUUGGUGGGGUAAAGGCCUACCAAGGCGACGAUCGUUAGCUGGUCUGAGAGGAUGAUCAGCCACACUGGAACUGAGACACGGUCCAG
Molecule: ribosomal RNA, 220 nt
Filed under: uncultured bacterium
Lineage: Bacteria
Description: partial 16S ribosomal RNA
Rfam family: Bacterial small subunit ribosomal RNA
Source: RNAcentral